CUGACAGCCCUUCAGUGUGAAAUCCUAUUUAUCCUCCCAAUAGCAAUAUUAUACACUGGCAGCAGUGCAUGCUUUCCCACACUGCCCUGUCACCAUGCUUCAACCCUAACUUCAAGGAAUUACCUAUAAGAGGAUAAUUUGGUUUCCAUGGCCCAGUCAAUUCUGUGACUGU
Unclassified non-coding RNA from Chelonoidis abingdonii (Abingdon island giant tortoise), 172 nucleotides. The record is from Ensembl. Lineage: Eukaryota; Metazoa; Chordata; Testudines; Testudinidae.